AGAGUUUGAUCCUGGCUCAGAACGAACGCUGGCGGCGUGCUUAACACAUGCAAGUCGAACGUGAUCCAGAGCUUGCUCUGGUGAAAGUGGCACACGGGUGAGUAACGCGUGGAUAACCUGCCCUGGUAUCUGGGAUAACAUCUCGAAGGGGGUGCUAAUACCGGAUAAGCCUACGGGAUCUUCGGAUUCUGCAGGAAAAGGAGGCCUCUAUUUAUAAGCUUCCGUAUCAUGAUGGGUCCGCGUACCAUUAGCUAGUUGGUGGGGUAAUGGCCUACCAAGGCGACGAUGGUUAGCUGGUCUGAGAGGAUGAUCAGCCACACUGGAACUGAGACACGGUCCAGACUCCUACGGGAGGCAGCAGUGGGGAAUUUUGCACAAUGGGGGAAACCCUGACGCAGCAACGCCGCGUGAGUGAUGAAGGCUUUCGGGUCGUAAAGCUCUGUCAGAGGGGAAGAAAUGAAACGUGCUAAUAUCACGUUUUCUUGACGGUACCCUCAAAGGAAGCACCGGCUAACUCCGUGCCAGCAGCCGCGGUAAUAC
RNAcentral lists this ribosomal RNA (540 nucleotides) under uncultured Geobacter sp. RNAcentral's name for it is "bacterial SSU rRNA". It matches the Rfam family "Bacterial small subunit ribosomal RNA", at positions 8 to 526 of the family's 1533-position model. Lineage: Bacteria; Pseudomonadati; Thermodesulfobacteriota; Desulfuromonadia; Geobacterales; Geobacteraceae. The record is from RNAcentral. RNAcentral also lists the same sequence under 1 other name.